This is a long non-coding RNA of Nycticebus coucang (slow loris), 1205 nucleotides long. RefSeq lists it as uncharacterized. Lineage: Eukaryota; Metazoa; Chordata; Mammalia; Primates; Lorisidae. The transcript is spliced from 2 exons. The record is from RefSeq and is a predicted model, not a curated record.
CCCUACAUGGACUUCUGGGGACCCUCUCUGCAUUUUUCCCUCCCCUGCUCUGUCCCACCACAGAUUCCAGUUGCUUUGGCUGCACCAAACUACUACUUUUGCCUCUUCAGCUCACGUGGAUUGCAGUGUUCUGCUUGAGCUCCAGCUCUCUGCUGAGGUCAGGAAGAGAUUUGAGCAAUCGUGGGGAUCACCUGGUGAAGAUUCCUGGGAUCGAUCAUAUUUCCCAACAAGUCAAUUCCAAGAAGAGUCCAAACAGGAGAAAUGUGUAAAAACAAGAGAAGAAAAGGCAGCACCCUGGGACAAUGCUAUUACAUGGAUGUCUGGAAAACCUGUACUUGACCAGAAAAAUAUGGCACUUGGAGCCAAAAAUAGCCUCCAUUACCCAAAAAGUUUGUGCUGCACAGGUUUGCUGUGGAGUAUGGAAAAUGGGUAUAGAGAAGAAAGCCUCUUAUGUUUGUGUUCACAUAAAAUGAGCAACAAAAAACUAUAGACCCUUGUAGGAAGACAUCACCUAAUGAAAAUCUGCAAAGAUACUCCAAUCCCAGCAUGUCCUGGAGCUUUCAUAAUGCCAAAGGCCACCCCUUGAAACAAAUACCAGGCCAAAGAAGCAAGUGCUGUUUAAUUAUACUUUUUUGGUAUGAAUUCUCACCCAGGACUAUUCCAUUUGCUCACUAUUCUAGAAGGACAAACAGUGGUAAUGGUGGACGUGUCAUUCCAUGCCAUUGGGAUCAGCUUCUCAAGGAAUGUUGGUUCUAAUUCCCAUUUAUAAAUAAAUUUAUACAUUUAUUAUAGCUCAAGGAAGAUGCUCAGGCACUCUUAUUUUUUUUUAAGCCCCUUUUUAAUUGUUACUUAUUUAAUUAAUUAAUUUUGAGACAUAGUCUCACUCUGUUGCCCUGGGUAGAAUGUCAGAGCUACAGCAACCUCAGACUCUUGAUUAGCCCCCUUUUUAAAAGCAUGAAGAAGAUCUAUCUUUUGAUGUUUUGGAUGCAUUAAAAAGGGCUAAUAUUGACUGAGCCAUUCUGCCACCCCUCUACUCUUAAGCUUUGUCUUAACUUUUGUAGAGCUUUUUUUGAACUUUCAGUAAACUCUAAAUACUCUAAAAAGGGGGGUGGGUGGAUUCUAAAACAGGGUUACAAAAACUGUGUUAUAUCUUAAAUGCUUCCAUUUAACAAAUAAAUGCUUUUAAACAAGAGCAUACAAUAUGA